AUUGAACGCUGGCGGCAGGCCUAACACAUGCAAGUCGAGCGGAUGAAGGGAGCUUGCUCCUGGAUUCAGCGGCGGACGGGUGAGUAAUGCCUAGGAAUCUGCCUGGUAGUGGGGGAUAACGUCCGGAAACGGGCGCUAAUACCGCAUACGACCUGCGGGAGAAAGCGGGGGAUCUUCGGACCUUACGCUAUCAGAUGAGCCUAGGUCGGAUUAGCUAGUUGGUGGGGUAAAGGCCUACCAAGGCGACGAUCCGUAACUGGUCUGAGAGGAUGAUCAGUCACACUGGAACUGAGACACGGUCCAGACUCCUACGGGAGGCAGCAGUGGGGAAUAUUGGACAAUGGGCGCAAGCCUGAUCCAGCCAUGCCGCGUGUGUGAAGAAGGUCUUCGGAUUGUAAAGCCCUUUUAGUGGGAAGGAAGAGCAGUAGGUUAAUACCUUGCUGUUUUGACGGUACCAAAAGAAUAAGCACCGGCUAACUUCGUG
RNAcentral lists this ribosomal RNA (484 nucleotides) under uncultured bacterium. RNAcentral's name for it is "partial 16S ribosomal RNA". It matches the Rfam family "Bacterial small subunit ribosomal RNA", at positions 30 to 507 of the family's 1533-position model. The record is from RNAcentral.